UUGACCUUCAAAUGAAUGACAUUGAAAUGACCAGUGGUCAUCUUCUAGUACUGGCCAAUCUUUAUUUCAAGUUUGAAGACUCUAGGUACAAGCAUACCAAAGUUAUAACAUGAAAUAAGAACUUUAACAUUUUUACAUUCAAGGUCACAGUGACCUUGACCUUCAAAUGAAUGA
Molecule: long non-coding RNA, 174 nt
Organism: Dreissena polymorpha
Lineage: Eukaryota; Metazoa; Mollusca; Bivalvia; Myida; Dreissenidae
Exons: 2
Source: RefSeq, a predicted model, not a curated record